Molecule: ribosomal RNA, 409 nt
Filed under: Konosirus punctatus (Konoshiro gizzard shad)
Lineage: Eukaryota; Metazoa; Chordata; Actinopteri; Clupeiformes; Clupeidae
Description: partial 16S ribosomal RNA
Rfam family: Bacterial large subunit ribosomal RNA
Source: RNAcentral
AGGGUUUAACUGUCUCUUUUUUUCGGUCAAUGAAACUGAUCUGCCCGNGCAGAAGCGGGCAUACCCACACAAGACGAGAAGACCCUAUGGAGCUUUAGACGCUCACCAACCACUAAAAGAGACCCGAUCUAACGGGCUUUCAAACAAUGUGGCCCUGGUAUAAACGUCUUCGGUUGGGGCGACCGCGGAGGAGAGAAAAGCCUCCGANAGGAUUGGGGGAAACCCUANAACCAAGAGCCACAGCUCUNAGUCACAAAAUAUUUGACCGACNNCGAUCCGGCUUCUUGCCGAUCAACGNNNCNAGUUACCCUAGGGAUAACAGCGCAAUCCCCUCCCAGAGNCCNUAUCGACGAGGGGGUUUACGACCUCGAUGUUGNAUNANGACAUCCUAAUGGNGNAGCCGNUAUUA